UACGAAGGGAGCUAGCGUUGUUCGGAAUUACUGGGCGUAAAGGGUGCGUAGGCGGUUCGAUUAGUCAGAUGUGAAAGCCCUGGGCUCAACCCAGGAACUGCGUUUGAUACUGUCGAGCUAGAAUUCGGGAGAGGUGAGUGGAAUUCCCAGUGUAGAGGUGAAAUUCGUAGAUAUUGGGAAGAACACCGGUGGCGAAGGCGGCUCACUGGACCGACAUUGACGCUGAGGCACGAAAGCGUGGGGAGCAAACAGG
Molecule: ribosomal RNA, 253 nt
Filed under: uncultured bacterium
Lineage: Bacteria
Description: partial 16S ribosomal RNA
Rfam family: Bacterial small subunit ribosomal RNA
Source: RNAcentral